GCUGGCGUCCUGCAGUGACGUUUUUAAUAACUUUUUCUCAAGGGCCUUAGGACUUCUCCCUAGGAGUUCUGGAAUGCUGAUCUGACGUCACAACAAAAAGAAAGUACUGUGGAAACUCACCUGCCUGCUUUGGGAAACUGAAGAACUAAGGACUGAUAGGACAGCUUUGUGCUCUUGGCUUACUCUAUGAUAUAGACACAUUCGCAUAGUGACUAGCCUUAAAAUUUAUAAUCCCUGGGGUUUGUUUGGUUUUGUUUUUAAUGAUAAAGGUGGACUCUGAUUUGGAAAAUAAGGAUCACACCACACCCUGCAAUUUUGUUUGUGUGGGACAGCUUGACCUGAGAGAUGUGUGCUCGAGGAGCUUUGCCUGGUGGAGGUGGGAUCCGGACUUCAGCAGCAGUUGACUCGCGCUCACACUAGUAAUCUGGCAUUCAGCAAUAAGGUAAAUGAGUCAACAGCACAAUCUCACUAGUCACACACACACACAAAAAAAAAAAGCUGUAAUUGAGAAGCAAAGCUUUGUGUCCACGAUUUUUCUCAGUGCCAAGACAAUGAGCAGCAGGCAGCUACAAUGAAAGAUUCUAAAUCAGCCCAGCAGUGACAGGUCCCAGCUGGCCUGACUCAUUCUUCAGGUCACAGACAAGCGGGCUCGAGCCCAGCUAUGAUUUUUAAAUGAAAAUGUCACCCAAAAGA
Rattus norvegicus (Norway rat) is the source of this 693-nucleotide non-coding RNA. NCBI's taxonomy places the organism in Eukaryota, Metazoa, Chordata, Mammalia, Rodentia, Muridae. The record is from RefSeq and is a predicted model, not a curated record.